GGAGAAAUGAGAGAUCCAGGAAGAUGGAGGGAUUUGCCCACUUUCAUGAAGAAAGUUGGAACUGAUGGAUAGCCUAAGUGCUGAAGUUAAGCAGGCAAAUGGAUAGAUUACUGCUUGUAGGCCAGACCUCAUCUUAUUAUGCAGCUGCUCCUGCUCACAAAACUGGAAAUUAAAGUUUAGAAUCUGGAAUCCACGACUGUCCAUUCAUAGAUACACAAAAUGGAGAUGUAUACAAAGAGAUUACCAUAAAAUAUUUGAGAGA
RNAcentral lists this long non-coding RNA (262 nucleotides) under Monodelphis domestica (gray short-tailed opossum). RNAcentral's name for it is "lncRNA (ENSMODG00000050193.1)". The record is from RNAcentral. Lineage: Eukaryota; Metazoa; Chordata; Mammalia; Didelphimorphia; Didelphidae.